GGUCAAGUUAUUAAGGGCUUACGGUGGAUGCCUUGGGACCAAGGGCCGAUGAAGGGCGCGGUAAGGCUGCGAUAAGCCUCGAUGAGCCGUCUAACAGGCAUAGUCGAGGGUUCCCGAAUGGGGAAACCUGUUCCGGUGUUGAGCCGGUUCAUCCCGAUGCAAAUCGGGAGGGUAAGCGGGGGAACUGAAACAUCUAAGUACCCCGAGGAAAAUAAAUCAACCGAGAUUCCCUGAGUAGUGGCGAACGAAAGGGGAAUAGCCCAAACCAGUACGACUUAGUGGCAUGAGGGCCUAUGUCGUAUCGGGGUUGUAGGGAGCACCUUGGGUCACCUCAUUAGACCUGAAGGAGUUACAAAUCUCGUCUCUAGCCGAAGGCGCCUGGGAAGGACCGUCAUAGAGGGUGAAAGCCCCGUAGGCGAAAGAGUCGAGACUCCUGGUGCCCACCCUGAGUACCACGGGGCACGUGAAACCUUGUGGGAAGCUGGGGGGACCACCCUCCAAGGCUAAAUACCCUUGGUCACCGAUAGCGUACCAGUACCGUGAGGGAAAGGUGAAAAGAACCCCUAGCGGGGAGUGAAAUAGAUCUGAAACCGUAAGCCUACAGAAGGUCGUAGCCCUGACUUCGGUCGGGGUGGCGGCGUGCCUAUUGAAGAAUGAUCCGGGGACUUACUGUAUGGAGCGAGGUUAAGGGACUGGAGUCCCGGAGCCGUAGCGAAAGCGAGUCUGAAUAGGGCGGCUAGUUCCAUGUAGUAGACUCGAAACCGGGUGAGCUACCCAUGGCCAGGUUGAAGGUUCGUUAACGCGCACUGGAGGACCGAACUCGUGGCUAGUACAAAAGCUUGGGAUGAGCUGUGGGUAGAGGUGAAAUGCCAAUCGAACUCGGAAAUAGCUAGUUCUCCCCGAAAUGCAUUUAGGUGCAGCCUCGGGCACAGGUGGACGGAGGUAGGGCACUGAAUGGGCUAGGGGGCGUGAGCUUACCAAACCCAAUCAAACCACC
This 997-nucleotide ribosomal RNA is filed under the name Dehalococcoidia bacterium. RNAcentral's name for it is "partial 23S ribosomal RNA". It matches the Rfam family "Bacterial large subunit ribosomal RNA", at positions 1 to 958 of the family's 2925-position model. Lineage: Bacteria; Bacillati; Chloroflexota; Dehalococcoidia. The record is from RNAcentral.